AGCAGAGCCAGCUCAGUCAAAGGGCCUUCAAUAUCUGUGAGAGGUGGUGGAGUUAACCUGCCUGCAAAAACCCUAGCUCCCUGUGGCACGCCAAUAGAAACUCAGUAGAGCAUGUAUCCACUUGAUAAUGUUUGCCCAUGUGCAGGAUCGUCCUUAGAAUUUCUUUGGUACUAGUUGCCACUAAGAGUGAAAGAGCAAGAGAGGAGAAGGUGUUGCCCUCUGAUUAAUUUUUUCAAAUUUUAACUUGAGUCAUGUAUUUUAUUUAGUUCUUGAGCACAUGAGCUGAAGGGAAAAGAAAGAAAUACGGGAAAAAGAGAGCUACAAUGCAAGGAAGACUCUAAAAGGUUCUUUUUCUUUAGGAAAAAUUUCUUAGACGCAUUCAUUUACUCUCUUUUCCCACCCUCUCUUGGAGUUUCUGCUUGUUGUAAAUUAUGUGAAACAG
RNAcentral lists this unclassified non-coding RNA (442 nucleotides) under Hevea brasiliensis (rubber tree). Lineage: Eukaryota; Viridiplantae; Streptophyta; Magnoliopsida; Malpighiales; Euphorbiaceae. The record is from RNAcentral.